GACGAACGCUGGCGGCGUGCUUAACACAUGCAAGUCGAACGGAAAGGCCCUGCUUUUGUGGGGUGCUCGAGUGGCGAACGGGUGAGUAACACGUGAGUAACCUGCCCUUGACUUUGGGAUAACUUCAGGUAACUGGGGCUAAUACCGGAUAGGAGCUCCUGCUGCAUGGUGGGGGUUGGAAAGUUUCGGCGGUGGGGGAUGGACUCGCGGCUUAUCAGCUUGUUGGUGGGGUAGUGGCUUACCAAGGCUUUGACGGGUAGCCGGCCUGAGAGGGUGACCGGCCACAUUGGGACUGAGAUACGGCCCAGACUCCUACGGGAGGCAGGAGUGGGGAAUAUUGCACGAUGGGCGGAAGCCUGAUGCAGCAACGCCGCGUGCGGGAUGACGGCCUGCGGGUUGUAAACCGCUUUCGCCUGUGACGGAGCGUGAGUGACGGUAAUGGGUAAAGAAGCACCGGCUAACUACGUG
RNAcentral lists this ribosomal RNA (468 nucleotides) under uncultured bacterium. Its description in RNAcentral is "partial 16S ribosomal RNA". It matches the Rfam family "Bacterial small subunit ribosomal RNA", at positions 28 to 507 of the family's 1533-position model. The record is from RNAcentral.